RNAcentral lists this ribosomal RNA (406 nucleotides) under uncultured bacterium. RNAcentral describes it as "partial 16S ribosomal RNA". It matches the Rfam family "Bacterial small subunit ribosomal RNA", at positions 30 to 526 of the family's 1533-position model. The record is from RNAcentral.
AUUGAACGCUGGCGGCGGGCCUAACACAUGCAAGUCGAGCGAGUGGCGGACGGGUGAGUAAUGUCUGGGAAUCUGCCCGAUGGAGGGGGAUAACUACUGGAAACGGUAGCUAAUACCGCAUACCAUCGGAUGUACCCAGAUGGGAUUAGCUAGUUGGUGGGGUAAAGGCUCACCUAGGCGACGAUCCCUAGCUGGUCUGAGAGGAUGACCAGCCACACUGGAACUGAGACACGGCCCAGACUCCUACGGGAGGCAGCAGUGGGGAAUAUUGCACAAUGGGCGCAAGCCUGAUGCAGCCAUGCCGCGUGUAUGAAGAAGGCCUUCGGGUUGUAAAGUACUUUCAGCGGGGAGGCGUUACCCGCAGAAGAAGCACCGGCUAACUCCGUGCCAGCAGCCGCGGUAAUAC